UUUGAUUUGAGUUAAAUCAUGUGUAUAUUUAAAUAUUAAGUUCGAAAGCAUUUACAUAAAUUUACAUCAUGAAUUCAAAUGAUAGGACGUUUUGUAGUAAAAAUCAGGGCAUUUUUAGCGAUACCAAAAAACGCAGGUUUUGGCGCGUUUUGCCGAGUCCCCAAUGCCGCCAAAAACGAAAGCUCUCUUUGCUUCUAUUUGUCUUGUCCUCUGUGUCUGAAACAACAACAAAAAAAAAGCAAUGAAAAUUUUAGGAGAAGAUGAGCAGACGAUUAACACGAUAUGCGGAGCUUGUUCCGGAGACAAAUUCACAGAGUACGGUGGUUUCUAUUACUGUCAAGAAUGUGGUACUCAGGCCCAAGGCUUCAUCCUCGCCAACGUCACUGACGACGACUUGUACAACCUCUACAAUGUUCGAUUCAGCCGCCGGAUCUCCAGUUCUACUACUAAUGAGCCAGAUCCAUGUUCGCUAGCUUGGUAUCAAUUCAUACGGAAAGAGGAGGAGGAGGACGAGAAAGUUACUACUUCCAAUCCUCCUAGUCAGAUCUCCCACGAUGAUUACUCUAAUGAGGUUAGGUUUAGGUAUGUGAUUGGACUGCAAACUCUGAUUCAGUCUCAAUGUGAUGCUUUGAUUCAGAAAUUUGGUCUUAGUGAUUUGAUUCCUGGUAUUGCUUCUUGGAUUUGGCUGAGGUAUGUGGUUGUAUCUGGGGUUCUCAAAGAUGACUGGGCUAGUGAUGCUAUCUUGAAAUCUGAAUCUGAAUCUGAUUCUCAUAUGAAGAAUAAGAAGAAGCUUGUAGCAGAUCAAUCUGACGCCGACUGCGGCAGUACCAGUAGUAGUCAGAGAUAUUAUAAUGAACCACUUACUGCACAUGGAAAACGUGCUGUAUCUGUUUGGUUUCGAAGUUUAAAGAAAGCCAUACCGAUGGAUCAUACUUUGGCUAUAUGCUAUUUGGCUUGCCAUAUUGCCAAAGAAGCGGUUCUACCAACGGAUUUAGCAAAGUGGUCAAUAGAAGGAACAAUUCCUUACUUCAAUGUCCAUUUGGAAAUCGAAAGCAAGUUGGGAGCUCCUUCGUUCGCUUGUCCUAUAAGUUCGGCGUCCAUGUUUAGGACAACUCGCCCGAUUCCAUUCGACAAGUUGGAAGGAAUGGCUGCCCCAAUUGCAGAGUCGUGUUGCGCUUGUCCUAUUAGUUCGGCUUUCAUGUUUAGGAGAACUCGCCGGAUUCCAUUCGACAAGUUGGAAGGAAUGGCUGCCACAAUUGCAGAGUCGUUAGGUUUGUCUCUAACUCCAAUAAAUUUUUAUGCAAUAGCAUGUCGAUACCUAAAUCAACUCUCUAUUCCGAGCGAAAAAGGAGUUUAGGGAAGAAGUCUGAGAUUGAUAGUGAUUGAGGCGCUCUCACAGAGGUUGGAAGCAGGGUAUAGCAUGGUUGGAGAAUCAUGGGAGUUUGGGAAAGACUUGACAUCUUAUCUCAACUACUGUACGGAUGUGGUCUUUGAAAAAGGAACAAAUAGAUCAUCAAGCCUUGAAGACGAGUUUAUAGAGAAGUUGUGGGACUAUUAUAUUGAGAAUGCUGCAAAUGAUGAUGAUGAUGAUGAUGAUGAUGGUAAUCAAGAGGCGGAUGUAGAGAGGAGUAGUAUACAUAGUAGAAGCAAUGUUUGUUCAAGGAAUGAAGAAGCUGCCCUGAUCAGAAAACUAAAGUUAGAUAUGAAGGAGAAAGAGUUCGGCUACCUUGUACCGAGGGUUAACAUCAAGAAUACAACGGAAUACCUGCACUACAGUAGAAGGAAGGACGAAACAACCGGGAGAUUGAGGUACGUUGCUCAUGCAGAUUACUAUAUUGUACUCCGUUCUUGCUGCCAAAGUUGCUCAGGUUGACUGUCAAAUGAUGCAUUUGGGGGGUUUGGCUUUAGAGAGGAGAUUGGACUCCUUAGAGAAGAGGAUCCAUUCAUUACUACAUCCAUCAUGAAUGAUCAUGUAGAUAUGCAGCCAGCCGGAAGCAUCUUUAUAUUUAGUUAUUAGUUAGUUGUUUUGUCAAUUUCUCUUCUCUUGCCUGCUAGCUGAAAGUAUCUAUCUAUCUAUCUUCUUAUAUUUAGUUAUUAUUAGCCAGCUGACUGUAAUCUAUCAACAAACUGUCAGUCAGGCAAUUUAUUAUUAUGUUAUUAUAAAGCAUUAGGGAGGGAAUCAUAAUCAAAGUAAGUAAGAUGGUUCUGUUUUUGUUUUUGUUUUUGUUUU
This 2230-nucleotide long non-coding RNA is filed under the name Linum usitatissimum (flax). RNAcentral describes it as "long non-coding RNA (LUSI_LNC007897)". The record is from RNAcentral. Lineage: Eukaryota; Viridiplantae; Streptophyta; Magnoliopsida; Malpighiales; Linaceae.